UACGGGGGGGGGCAAGCGUUGUUCGGAAUUACUGGGCGUAAAGGGCGCGUAGGCGGUCGUGACAAGUCACUUGUGAAAUCUCCGGGCUUAACUCGGAACGGUCAAGUGAUACUGUCGGGCUAGAGUACAGAAGGGGCAACUGGAAUUCUCGGUGUAGCGGUGAAAUGCGUAGAUAUCGAGAGGAACACCUGCGGCGAAGGCGGGUUGCUGGGCUGACACUGACGCUGAUGCGCGAAAGCUAGGGGAGCGAACGGG
This 255-nucleotide ribosomal RNA is filed under the name uncultured bacterium. RNAcentral's name for it is "partial 16S ribosomal RNA". It matches the Rfam family "Bacterial small subunit ribosomal RNA", at positions 524 to 776 of the family's 1533-position model. The record is from RNAcentral.